AUUGAACGCUGGCGGCAUGCUUUACACAUGCAAGUCGAACGGCAGCGCGGGCUUCGGCCUGGCGGCGAGUGGCGAACGGGUGAGUAAUACAUCGGAACGUGCCCAGUAGUGGGGGAUAGCUCGGCGAAAGCCGGAUUAAUACCGCAUACGACCUGAGGGUGAAAGCGGGGGAUCUUCGGACCUCGCGCUAUUGGAGCGGCCGAUGGCAGAUUAGCUAGUUGGUGGGGUAAAGGCCUACCAAGGCGACGAUCUGUAGCUGGUCUGAGAGGACGACCAGCCACACGGGGACUGAGCCGCGGCCCAGACUCCUACGGGAGGCAGCAGUGGGGAAUUUUGGACAAUGGGCGAAAGCCUGAUCCAGCAAUGCCGCGUGUGUGAUGAAGGCCUUCGGGUUGUAAAGCACUUUUGGCGGGAACGAAAAGGACUGUGCCAAUACCACGGUUCGAUGACGGUACCCGCAGAAUAAGCACCGGCUAACUACGUG
Molecule: ribosomal RNA, 484 nt
Filed under: uncultured bacterium
Lineage: Bacteria
Description: partial 16S ribosomal RNA
Rfam family: Bacterial small subunit ribosomal RNA
Source: RNAcentral